RNAcentral lists this ribosomal RNA (460 nucleotides) under uncultured bacterium. RNAcentral describes it as "partial 16S ribosomal RNA". It matches the Rfam family "Bacterial small subunit ribosomal RNA", at positions 338 to 795 of the family's 1533-position model. The record is from RNAcentral.
CCUACGGGAGGCAGCAGUGAGGAAUAUUGGUCAAUGGGCGCUAGCCUGAACCAGCCAAGUAGCGUGAAUGAUGACUGCCCUAUGGGUUGUAAACUUCUUUUAUAUGGGAAUAAAGUGCAGUAUGUAUACUGCUUUGCAUGUACCUUAUGAAUACGGAUCGGCUAACUCCGUGCCAGCAGCCGCCGUAAUACGGAGGAUUCGAGCGUUAUCCGGAUUUAUUGGUUUUAAAGGGAGCGUAGGCGGGUUGUUAAGUGAGGUGUUAAAGUUUGCGGCUUUAACGUAAGAUUGCAGUUGAUACUGGCAUCCUUGAGUACAGUAGAGGUAGGCGGAAUUCGAGGUGUAGCGGUGAAAUGCUUAGAUAUCACGAAGAACUCCGAUUGCGAAGGCAGCCUGCUGGACUGUAACUGACGCUGAUGCUCGAAAGUGUGGGGAUCAAACAGGAUUAGAUACCCCAGUAGUC